CCCAGCUCACCCUGGGCGCAGACCGAGUCCUGCCCAGCCCCCCGCUGCAGGCUGCUGUCGUGCUGUGAGGGCACAGGGGCCGAGUCCUGCUCUUCCACACCAGUCUUCUCCAGGAGCGGAAUACCCCAGCAAACAUGACAUUUGAUGUGGAACACCAGCAGGAAUGCCACCCCACACCUUGUCAAAUCUCAUACACCAUCUCAUACAAUCUCUUGCACCAGACUCCCCGCUCAAUGCCGACGCCACGGCCACCAGUACGGAUUCUUCACAUCCAGAGAAGUGGAUGUCUUCUUAAUUACUUAGGACAGGCAGCAGGGCAGUGGUCUGGAGAGCUGGCGAAGAUCUGAUCCUGGAUCCAGAUUACACGUCCCGGACGUCUGCCCUGGGGAGCUGGACCCACGCCGGGCAUCUUCCAAGCUAGCAGGAGAAUCUGAGCUGCCAGGAAUUGAAAAGCAGACGAUUUGCUCUGGUUUGGAGCCUGAGCCCCUAGGAGCCGCAGAGCAUUUGCUCUCCAUGUGAACUGCCUGAAGGUACAGCUCGGUAACCCCGGGCCACGUUUAGGACAUGUGUUCUCCUGUAGUCUUCGAAGACACGCCUUUGCUUUGCAAACCACACUGCGAAAAUUGGCUCUGGCUUUCCUAGAUGCAGCACAACCUCCGAUCAAACUUAAUUAAAGCAAGAGGAGUCGUACUCAUCUUGCGUUUUCUCCCAGGCAUAGUUUUUCUUCUGACUGGGACUUGAGGGCGUUCAGUCGGGUGCCUUGGGCUGCAGAGGCGGCCGCUGGUGCAACUGACAGGCUGCGAAGCUGUCCCCGGGGAGAGCAGCCCGUGGGGCUGGCACAGCUAGAACAGGUCCCUUAAGUCCCCCCAUCCAGCCAGGUCGACCGCGGGCAGCUAGAGGGCCUGCCUUAGCAGGGCUCUCACUCCAGAACAGGGCCAGCACACAGCCAGGGGUCA
Heterocephalus glaber (naked mole-rat) is the source of this 956-nucleotide long non-coding RNA. Lineage: Eukaryota; Metazoa; Chordata; Mammalia; Rodentia; Bathyergidae. The record is from Ensembl.